UCUACGGGGGGCAGCAGUGAGGAAUAUUGGUCAAUGGGCGAGAGCCUGAACCAGCCAAGUCGCGUGAGGGAGUACUGCCCUAUGGGUUGUAAACCUCUUUUGUCGGGGAGCAAAAGCCGGACGUGUCCGGCUGUGAGAGUACCCGAAGAAAAAGCAUCGGCUAACUCCGUGCCAGCAGCCGCGGUAAUACGUAGGUGGCAAGCGUUGUCCGGAUUUACUGGGUGUAAAGGGCGUGCAGCCGGAGAGACAAGUCAGAUGUGAAAUCCACGGGCUCAACCCGUGAACUGCAUUUGAAACUGUUUCCCUUGAGUGUCGGAGAGGUAAUCGGAAUUCCUUGUGUAGCGGUGAAAUGCGUAGAUAUAAGGAAGAACACCAGUGGCGAAGGCGGAUUACUGGACGAUAACUGACGGUGAGGCGCGAAAGCGUGGGGAGCAAACAGGAUUAGAUACCCGUGUAGUC
Molecule: ribosomal RNA, 459 nt
Filed under: uncultured bacterium
Lineage: Bacteria
Description: partial 16S ribosomal RNA
Rfam family: Bacterial small subunit ribosomal RNA
Source: RNAcentral